CUACGGGGGGCAGCAGGCGCGAAACCUCUACAAUGCACGCAAGUGUGAUAGGGGGAUUCCAAGUGCUUUACUUUCAGUAAAGCUUUUUUCAAUGGUAAAAACAUUGAAGAAUAAGUGGUGGGUAAGACAGGUGCCAGCCGCCGCGGUAACACCCGCGCCACAAGUGGUAAUCACAAUUAUUGGGCCUAAAGCGUUCGUAGCCGGUCUAAAAAAUCCCUUGUGAAAUUGUUAAGCCUAACUUAACAGCAUGCAGGGGACACUUUUAGACUUGAAAUCAAGAGGGGUUAGGAGUAUUCCAGGGGGAGCGGUAAUAUGUUAUAAUCCCUGGAAGACUACCAGUGGCGAAGGCGCCUAACCAGAAUGAUUUUGACGGUGAGGGACGAAAGCUAGGGGAGCAAAACGGAUUAGAUACCCCGGUAGUC
Molecule: ribosomal RNA, 422 nt
Filed under: uncultured archaeon
Lineage: Archaea
Description: partial 16S ribosomal RNA
Rfam family: Archaeal small subunit ribosomal RNA
Source: RNAcentral